Molecule: ribosomal RNA, 380 nt
Filed under: uncultured eukaryote
Lineage: Eukaryota
Description: partial 18S ribosomal RNA
Rfam family: Eukaryotic small subunit ribosomal RNA
Source: RNAcentral
CAAUAGCGUAUAUUAAAGUUGUUGCGGUUAAAAAGCUCGUAGUUGGAUUUCUGCUGAGGGUGACCGGUCCGCCCUCCGGGUGAGUAUCUGGCUCAACCUUGGCAUCUUCCUGAAGAACGUAACUGCACUUGACUGUGUGGUGCGGUAUUUAGGACAUUUACUUUGAGGAAAUUAGAGUGUUUCAAGCAAGCGCACGCCUUGAAUACAUUAGCAUGGAAUAAUAAGAUAGGACCUCGGAUCUAUUUUGUUGGUUUCUAGAGCUGAGGUAAUGAUUGAUAGGGAUAGUUGGGGGCAUUCGUAUUUAACUGUCAGAGGUGAAAUUCUUGGAUUUGUUAAGGACGGACUACUGCGAAAGCAUUUGCCAAGGAUGUUUUCAUUGA